Molecule: non-coding RNA, 29 nt
Filed under: Rattus norvegicus (Norway rat)
Lineage: Eukaryota; Metazoa; Chordata; Mammalia; Rodentia; Muridae
Source: RNAcentral
UAAGAGGGUAGAUAUCUCGAUGCAGAUUU